GGUUAAGCGACUAAGCGUACACGGUGGAUGCCCUGGCAGUCAGAGGCGAUGAAGGACGUGCUAAUCUGCGAUAAGCGUCGGUAAGGUGAUAUGAACCGUUAUAACCGGCGAUUUCCGAAUGGGGAAACCCAGUGUGAUUCGUCACACUAUCAUUAACUGAAUCCAUAGGUUAAUGAGGCGAACCGGGGGAACUGAAACAUCUAAGUACCCCGAGGAAAAGAAAUCAACCGAGAUUCCCCCAGUAGCGGCGAGCGAACGGGGAGGAGCCCAGAGCCUGAAUCAGUGUGUGUGUUAGUGGAAGCGUCUGGAAAGGCGCGCGAUACAGGGUGACAGCCCCGUACACAAAAAUGCACAUGCUGUGAGCUCGAUGAGUAGGGCGGGACACGUGGUAUCCUGUCUGAAUAUGGGGGGACCAUCCUCCAAGGCUAAAUACUCCUGACUGACCGAUAG
This 450-nucleotide ribosomal RNA is filed under the name Escherichia coli. Its description in RNAcentral is "partial 23S ribosomal RNA". It matches the Rfam family "Bacterial large subunit ribosomal RNA", at positions 1 to 490 of the family's 2925-position model. Lineage: Bacteria; Pseudomonadati; Pseudomonadota; Gammaproteobacteria; Enterobacterales; Enterobacteriaceae. The record is from RNAcentral.